This 161-nucleotide ribosomal RNA is filed under the name uncultured bacterium. Its description in RNAcentral is "partial 16S ribosomal RNA". It matches the Rfam family "Bacterial small subunit ribosomal RNA", at positions 338 to 496 of the family's 1533-position model. The record is from RNAcentral.
CCUACGGGAGGCAGCAGUAAGGAAUAUUGGUCAAUGGACGCAAGUCUGAACCAGCCAUGCCGCGUGAAGGAUGAAGGCCCUCUGGGUUGUAAACUUCUUUUAUCUGGGACGAAAAAAGGGCUUUCUAGCUCGACUGACGGUACCAGAGGAAUAAGCACCGG